CCUGGAGGGGAAUCUGCCCCUGGUGCUGGCACUGGCUCAACAGCUGGCACUGGAAAUCGCUGUAUUUCUGCACCUGAAGCAGGAGCUGAAAAAGGAGAGAGGUCACCAAUACCACUCACUUUCCACUGGAAUUUCCAAACAUGAAAACAACCUCAUUGAAUUUAAAGGAAUUUCAGCCUGAAAACAUUGUCCCUGGAAAGACUUCCAGACUGCAGGUGACCUCAGCAUGUGCCUGUGUCUCAAUGAGCUCCAGAGGCUCCAGCUGGACAAGGACAAUGUGCAGAUGUGGCCCUGGUGGGAUCACUGGUGAGGCCUGGCCUGGUAGCUCCAUCUGGGGCCUGAUGUCUACCUGGUGACUCCUGUCCUGUGGUACCUGGGCGGGGGGCUUCUGCCAAAUGGCCAGAGGCAUCUGGGGUGAGGGAUGAGCCUACAAGGGCGUCAUCAGCAAAGAAAGGCUCUCACUCCUGCCAUUCCUGAAGCAGGAGCCUUGAGAUGUGGGGAUGCAGCACAAGAACAUCUUGCUCUCUUGAGCGUCUCCCACCAAGUGAGCUGGCUAUGGGGCUAAUGCUAGGAUGUGGGUGCCCGGUUAUCGGGAUUCUUUUUUUUUUUGAGACAUAGUCUCAUUCUGUUGGCCAGGCUGGAGUGCAGUGGCAUGAUCUCGGCUCACUGCAACAUCCACCUACUGGGUUCAAUCAAUUCUCCUGCCUCUGUCUCCUGAGUAGCUGGGAUUACAGGCAUGAGACACGCACCACCACACCUGGCUAGGUUUUUUGUGUUUGUUUGUUUUUUGUAUUUUUAGUAGACAUGUGGUUUUACCAUGUUGGUCAAGCUGGUCUCGAUCUCCUGAUUUCAUGAUCUUCCUGCCUUGGCCUCCCAAAGUGCUGGGAUUACAGGUGUGAGCCACCGUGCCUGGCCUGGUUACCAGAAUUCUAAGUUCUGUUAGGGUCUGUUGCCAAGGAAGUGAGGUCGCUUCUUUAAGUUUCCAUCCCCUCGGCCUCCUCCUUCCAGAAAACCUUCUCAGGACCCCAGUGGGCUGCUGACUGCUCACCCUCCCCACAGGUCAACUCCUUACCUGUACACAGUUAUGUCCACCCAGGGCCUGCUUGGACACCUGCACCUGAUGUUCACCAGAGACCUAGGAAUCCACUUGCAGCCUGUGAUCCUACAGGGGCCUAAUGUUACCCUGCAGAUUGGGUAGCCACCUGGGGACCAGGUAUCAACCUGGGGACUGUGGUUGACCUGCGGGCUAAUGUCCACCUGGGGACUGGUUACUCACCUGAGGCCUGAUGUGCACCUGGGGCCCGAUGUCCCCCUCAGGGUGAAUUCCACCUCAGGCCUGUAUGUCCACCUGGGGCCUGAUGUCUGCCUUAGGUCUAUGUCCCACUGGGACCUUAUGUUCACCAGGGACUGGUAUCCAGCUGUGGCCUGAUGACCUACUGCAUCCUGUUGCUCACCUAUGGCCCGGUGUCUACCUGGGGCUUGGUGAUCACCUGGGAGCUGGAUAUCAACCUGGGGCCUGGGUGUCCACUUAAGGCCUGAUGUGUGCCUGGGGCCUGAUUGUCCACCUGGGGACUGGGUGUCCACCUUGGGUCUGAUGUCUACCUGAAGUUAUUUAUCUACCUAAGGCUUGGUGUCUACCUGUGGCCUGAUGUCCACAUGAGUCUGGGGUUCGGUUGGGGCCUGCUGUACAUCUGGGACCUUGGUGUCUAUCUGAGGCCGGAUGUCUACCUGGUGACUGCCAUCCUCUUGAGGCCUGAUAUCCACCUGGGAAUGGUUUAUCCAUGGAAACCUUUAUGUCCACCUGGAGCUGGAUGUCGCCCAGGAGCUAGAUGUCCACCUGUGGCCCUGUGUCCACCUAGGGCCUGAUGUCCACAAGUUGGCCUGGUAUUCAUCUGGGGCCUUCAUGCUAAUGUGGCUUAAUGUACUCCUGGGUUCUAGUGUCCUCUUGGGACCUGAUGUCUACCAGGAUCCUGGUAUCCACCUGGGGCCUGGUAUCCACCUAGGGCUUGAUAUUCACCUGGGGCCUAAGAAUCCACUUGAUAACUGGUGCCCAUCGGGGUCCUGAUGUUCACCUUGGGACCGGGUAACCACCUGAGGCUUGAUGUCUACUUAGGGCAUAAGUGUUUAUCUGGGGUCUAGUGUUCACAUGGGGCCUGAUGUCAACCUUGAGCCUAGGUAUUCAUCAGGGGACUAGUGUCCAGCUGGGGCCAGAUGUUCACUUGGGGUCUGGUGUCAACUUGAAGCAUGGUUGUCAACCUAGGACCUGAUGUCCAGUCCAGUGUCCACCUUGGGCCUGUUUUCUAACUGGGGCCUGUGUGUCCACAUAGACCCUGGUGUCAAUUUGGGGCCGGGGUAUUAACAAGGGGCCUGGAUAUUCAUUGGUACAUUAUGUCUACUGGGGUCUUUGUGUCAAUCUGAGCUCUGAUGUCCACCUAGAGAUUGGGUAUCCACCUAAGGCCUGGUGUUUACAUGGGGCCUGUAACACGAGGUUCCAGAUGAACUCAGAUGUCCACCUGAGGCCUCAUGUCCACCUGAGUUCUGAGUGUUCACAUAGGGCCUGCCAUCAACUUGGGACCUAAGUAUUUACCUAGGGCCUGGGUGUCCACCUGGGGCCUGACUUCCAACUAGCUCUUGUGUCAACAUGGGGCCUGAUGUCCACUUUGGGCCUAGGUAACUUCCUGAUGACUAAUGCACACAUGGCUCCUAAGGACCAUCUGAGGCCUGGUAUUAAUUUAGAGACUGGUAUCCACCUGGGGUCCAGGUAUCCACUUAGGACCUGAUGUUUACCUGGAGUGUAGGAAUUCACGUGGGGCCUGGUGUCCACCUUGAGUGUGUGUAUCCAACUGAGUGCUGGUGUCCACCUGGAGUCCAGUGUAUACCCGGGGCCUGAUGUACAUAUGGGGCCUCAGACAAACACCAGGCCCCAGGUAGACAUUAGACACGAAAUGGACACUCAGGCCACAAGUGAACAUCUGUCCCCAGGGGGACAUCCAUCCCAAGGUGGACAUCAGGCCAGAGAUGUACACCCAGGCCCCAGGAGAACCCCAGGCCCCAGGAGGACACUCAAGUGCCAGAAGGACACCCAGUCCCUAGGUAACUACAAGGCCCCAGGUGGACAUGAUGUUCCAGAUGGAUAUGAGGCCCCAAGUGGAUACUAGGCCCAGGUGGACCCCAGGUCUCAGGGGCACACCAGGCCCCAGGGGAACACCAGGCCCUAGGUAAGCAUGCAGUCCCAGGUGGACACCAGGUGCCAGGAGGACACCAGGACCCAGUUGGUCAUCAAGCCACUGCUGAACACCAAUUCCCCAUGAACACCAGUCCUCAGGUGGGCACCUAGUCCUCUUGUGUGCAUCAGGUGCCAGGCUGACAUAGGCACCAGCUGAACUCUGGGCCUCAGGUGAACAUCAGAUCCCAGGUUGUCACCCAGGUCCCAGGUGAACACCAGGUUUUAGGUGGACACGAGGUCCUAGGUGGAUGUCUAUGCUCCUGGUGAACCUCAGGCCCUAGUGGACACUCAGGCCCUUUAUAGACAUCUGGCUCCAUAUGCACUCCCAGGGCCCAGGUAGACAUGAGGCCCCAGAGGAACACCAGUCCUUAAUCAACUAAGACUGAAUUCCCCUAGGGCUGGAGACUGAGUAUUCACCUUGGGCCUAGGAAUCUACCUGGGGCCAGAUGUCGAUCUGGGGCCUGAUGUCUACUCAGGUUCAGCUGUCCACCUAGGGUGUGGUGGACCUCUAUUCUGUCCCCACCCUGCAACAUUGGGCCAGCUCAGUCUCUGCCACCAGCUUCCCACAUCGUCGUCCCUCAGAGCCCUAGGGUGGGUUCCCCCUACCUAGUGUCUCUGGC
RNAcentral lists this long non-coding RNA (3846 nucleotides) under Homo sapiens (human). RNAcentral describes it as "HSALNT0039972". The record is from RNAcentral. Lineage: Eukaryota; Metazoa; Chordata; Mammalia; Primates; Hominidae.